Vulpes vulpes (red fox) is the source of this 325-nucleotide unclassified non-coding RNA. Its record names the gene 7SK. It matches the Rfam family "7SK RNA". Rfam says of the family: 7SK was discovered as an abundant small nuclear RNA in the mid-70s but a possible function has only recently been suggested. Two independent studies have found that 7SK RNA binds the CDK9/cyclin T complex (known as elongation factor P-TEFb). The record is from Ensembl. Lineage: Eukaryota; Metazoa; Chordata; Mammalia; Carnivora; Canidae.
GGAUGUGAGGGCAAUGUGGCUGUGAUAUUGUCACCCUAUCAAUUGUCAGGAUUGAUUCAACUGAUCUGGCUGGGUAGGUGGAUGUUCCUUUCCUUCCUCACUGCUCCAUGUGUGUCCCUCCAGAAGCUGUGUGCUCAAAGGAGGAACUGCUGUGACAGAGGAGGACCAUUUGUCAGUAAAAGGUAUUCAAGUAGCUACACUCCCCCUACUACAACCCAUAAACAAGCUCUUAUGGUCCAUUUAUAGGAGAAUAUAGACUAGUCAAGUUUCCAAGACUCCAGACACAUCUAAAUGAGGUGCUGCAUGUGGCAGUCUGCCUUUCUUU